This 666-nucleotide ribosomal RNA is filed under the name Malassezia sympodialis. RNAcentral describes it as "eukaryotic LSU rRNA". The stretch from base 218 to 371 matches the Rfam family "5.8S ribosomal RNA". The record is from RNAcentral. Lineage: Eukaryota; Fungi; Basidiomycota; Malasseziomycetes; Malasseziales; Malasseziaceae.
GGAAGUAAAAGUCGUAACAAGGUUUCUGUAGGUGAACCUGCAGAAGGAUCAUUAGUGAAAGUUUCGGGCCUGCCAUACGGACGCAAACACGUCUCUGGCGCCCAUCACUAUAUCCAUACCAACCCCUGUGCACUGUGAUGACGAAUGUCAUCGAACAAAAAAAACUCGUAUGGUUGAAUGUACGUGAAAUUGUAGGUAUAGCCUACGAACUAUACACAACUUUCGACAACGGAUCUCUUGGUUCUCCCAUCGAUGAAGAACGCAGCGAAACGCGAUAGGUAAUGUGAAUUGCAGAAUUCCGUGAAUCAUCGAAUCUUUGAACGCACCUUGCGCUCCAUGGUAUUCCGUGGAGCAUGCCUGUUUGAGUGCCGCGAAUUCUCCCUCCCCUUACGGUGGCCGAAAGGCCGAAGUAGGGCGGACGGGGUAGGAUGGGUGUUGCUGCCUGGGGAUUGUACCAGGCUCGCCCGAAAUGCAUAAGCGCCAGGACCCUCGCUACCGCUCUCUAGGGAAGAGUGGCUAAGCGACCGCUGAGCAUGGCAUGAUACGUCAUUUGCUGUGUGUGGGCGGCCGGUUGGAGAGGUGUCUGCUUUACCAGCCCUUUUUUAAUUCUGGUCUCAAAUCAGGUAGGAUCACCCGCUGAACUUAAGCAUAUCAAUAAGCGGAGGA